AGCCUGGUUAGCUCAAUCGGUAGAGCGUGAGACUCUUAACAGAGAUCACUCUCCCAGAGAACGAUUGAUAUACUCAUCUCAAGGUUGCGGGUUCGACCCCCGCAUCGGGCUG
This is a non-coding RNA of Periconia digitata, 112 nucleotides long. The record is from the annotation of a GenBank genome assembly. NCBI's taxonomy places the organism in Eukaryota, Fungi, Ascomycota, Dothideomycetes, Pleosporales, Periconiaceae.